Molecule: ribosomal RNA, 253 nt
Filed under: uncultured bacterium
Lineage: Bacteria
Description: partial 16S ribosomal RNA
Rfam family: Bacterial small subunit ribosomal RNA
Source: RNAcentral
UACGGAGGGUGCAAGCGUUAUCCGGAUUCACUGGGUUUAAAGGGUGUGUAGGCGGGUCGUUAAGUCAGUGGUGAAAUCUCCGAGCUCAACUUGGAAACUGCCAUUGAUACUAUCGGUCUUGAAUACCGUUGAGGUGGGCGGAAUAUAUCAUGUAGCGGUGAAAUGCAUAGAUAUGAUAUAGAACACCAAUUGCGAAGGCAGCUCACUAAACGGUCAUUGACGCUGAGGCACGAAAGCGUGGGGAUCAAACAGG